UACUCCUCAGCCUUAGAUCUAGAUUUCUUCUUCUAGAUCUCAAAGAAAGAAAUUACUGCACGAACUCUUUCGUGCAGAUGCGAUGGGAUCUAAACCAGAUCACCAUGAAGAGAAGAACAACCCUUCUUUUUCUCUUCGUCUCUCUCUUUUCUCUUCUUAGAUUUGAUCUCUAUCAGAUUUGGGUGUUGGAUGAAGGGGAGA
This 201-nucleotide long non-coding RNA is filed under the name Elaeis guineensis (African oil palm). RNAcentral describes it as "long non-coding RNA (EGUI_LNC067613)". Lineage: Eukaryota; Viridiplantae; Streptophyta; Magnoliopsida; Arecales; Arecaceae. The record is from RNAcentral.